GUGGUAAUGCCGGAUGCUCCAUCACACCGCAUGGUGUGUUGGGAAAGCCUUUGCGGCAUGGGAUGGGGUCGCGUCCUAUCAGCUUGAUGGCGGGGUAACGGCCCACCAUGGCUUCGACGGGUAGCCGGCCUGAGAGGGCGACCGGCCACAUUGGGACUGAGAUACGGCCCAGACUCCUACGGGAGGCAGCAGUGGGGAAUAUUGCACAAUGGGCGCAAGCCUGAUGCAGCGACGCCGCGUGAGGGAUGGAGGCCUUCGGGUUGUAAACCUCUUUUAUCAGGGAGCAAGGCUUCGGUUGAGUGUACCUGUUGAAUAAGCACCGGCUAACUACGUGCCAGCAGCCGCGGUAAUACGUAGGGUGCAAGCGUUAUCCGGAAUUAUUGGGCGUAAAGGGCUCGUAGGCGGUUCGUCGCGUCCGGUGUGAAAGUCCAUCGCUUAACGGUGGAUCCGCGCCGGGUACGGGCGGGCUUGAGUGCGGUAGGGGAGACUGGAAUUCCCGGUGUAACGGUGGAAUGUGUAGAUAUCGG
Molecule: ribosomal RNA, 527 nt
Filed under: Bifidobacterium breve
Lineage: Bacteria; Bacillati; Actinomycetota; Actinomycetes; Bifidobacteriales; Bifidobacteriaceae
Description: bacterial SSU rRNA
Rfam family: Bacterial small subunit ribosomal RNA
Source: RNAcentral